Molecule: unclassified non-coding RNA, 162 nt
Filed under: soil metagenome
Description: partial internal transcribed spacer 1
Source: RNAcentral
UCGAGUUUACAACUCCCAAACCCCAUGUGAACCUUACCAUCACGUCGCUUCGGCGGUCACGCCCCGGCGCCCCCGUGCCCGGAACCAGGCGCCCGCCGGAGGACCAUCAAACUAUUGUUGUAUCUAGUGGCAUUGUCUGAGUGGCGUAAAGCAAAUCAAUCA